AUGGCAUCAUGAGUCCACAUGUUCACAUGAUUAAAGGUAUUCCGGUAGACGAUGGGGAUGCGUUCCAUUAGAUAGUAGGCGGGGUAACGGCCCACCUAGUCUUCGAUGGAUAGGGGUUCUGAGAGGAAGGUCCCCCACAUUGGAACUGAGACACGGUCCAAACUCCUACGGGAGGCAGCAGUGAGGAAUAUUGGUCAAUGGGCGAGAGCCUGAACCAGCCAAGUAGCGUGAAGGAUGACUGCCCUAUGGGUUGUAAACUUCUUUUAUAAAGGAAUAAAGUCGGGUAUGCAUACCCGUUUGCAUGUACUUUAUGAAUAAGGAUCGGCUAACUCCGUGCCAGCAGCCGCGGUAAUACGGAGGAUCCGAGCGUUAUCCGGAUUUAUUGGGUUUAAAGGGAGCGUAGAUGGAUGUUUAAGUCAGUUGUGAAAGUUUGCGGCUCAACCGUAAAAUUGCAGUUGAUACUGGAUAUCUUGAGUGCAGUUGAGGCAGGCGGAAUUCGUGGUGUAGCGGUGAAUGCUUAGAUAUCACGAAGAACUCCGAUUGCGAAGGCAGCCUGCUAAGCGUGCAACUGACAUUGAGGCUCG
This 584-nucleotide ribosomal RNA is filed under the name uncultured Bacteroidales bacterium. RNAcentral describes it as "bacterial SSU rRNA". It matches the Rfam family "Bacterial small subunit ribosomal RNA", at positions 173 to 755 of the family's 1533-position model. The record is from RNAcentral. Lineage: Bacteria; Pseudomonadati; Bacteroidota; Bacteroidia; Bacteroidales.